RNAcentral lists this ribosomal RNA (246 nucleotides) under uncultured Pseudomonadaceae bacterium. Its description in RNAcentral is "partial 16S ribosomal RNA". It matches the Rfam family "Bacterial small subunit ribosomal RNA", at positions 796 to 1041 of the family's 1533-position model. Lineage: Bacteria; Pseudomonadati; Pseudomonadota; Gammaproteobacteria; Pseudomonadales; Pseudomonadaceae. The record is from RNAcentral.
CACGCCGUAAACGAUGUCAACUAGCUGUUGGGUUCCUUGAGAACUUAGUAGCGAAGCUAACGCGAUAAGUUGACCGCCUGGGGAGUACGGCCGCAAGGUUAAAACUCAAAUGAAUUGACGGGGGCCCGCACAAGCGGUGGAGCAUGUGGUUUAAUUCGAAGCAACGCGAAGAACCUUACCUGGCCUUGACAUGCUGAGAACUUUCCAGAGAUGGAUUGGUGCCUUCGGGAACUCAGACACAGGUGC